Molecule: ribosomal RNA, 437 nt
Filed under: Bacillus subtilis
Lineage: Bacteria; Bacillati; Bacillota; Bacilli; Caryophanales; Bacillaceae
Description: bacterial SSU rRNA
Rfam family: Bacterial small subunit ribosomal RNA
Source: RNAcentral
ACGCGAAGAACCUUACCAGGUCUUGACAUCCUCUGACAAUCCUAGAGAUAGGACGUCCCCUUCGGGGGCAGAGUGACAGGUGGUGCAUGGUUGUCGUCAGCUCGUGUCGUGAGAUGUUGGGUUAAGUCCCGCAACGAGCGCAACCCUUGAUCUUAGUUGCCAGCAUUCAGUUGGGCACUCUAAGGUGACUGCCGGUGACAAACCGGAGGAAGGUGGGGAUGACGUCAAAUCAUCAUGCCCCUUAUGACCUGGGCUACACACGUGCUACAAUGGACAGAACAAAGGGCAGCGAAACCGCGAGGUUAAGCCAAUCCCACAAAUCUGUUCUCAGUUCGGAUCGCAGUCUGCAACUCGACUGCGUGAAGCUGGAAUCGCUAGUAAUCGCGGAUCAGCAUGCCGCGGUGAAUACGUUCCCGGGCCUUGUACACACCGCCCGU